UCCUACGGGGGGCAGCAGUGAGGAAUAUUGGUCAAUGGUCGGGAGACUGAACCAGCCAAGCCGCGUGAGGGAUGGGGGUACAGAGUAUCGUAAACCUCUUUUGUCAGGGAACAAAGGCGGGGACGCGUCCCCGGAUGAGUGUACCUGAAGAAAAAGCAUCGGCUAACUCCGUGCCAGCAGCCGCGGUAAUACGGAGGAUGCGAGCGUUAUCCGGAUUUAUUGGGUUUAAAGGGUGCGCAGGCGGUCUGUUAAGUCAGCGGUCAAAGCCCGGGGCUCAACCCCGGCCCGCCGUUGAAACUGGCAGU
This 305-nucleotide ribosomal RNA is filed under the name uncultured bacterium. RNAcentral's name for it is "bacterial SSU rRNA". It matches the Rfam family "Bacterial small subunit ribosomal RNA", at positions 337 to 640 of the family's 1533-position model. The record is from RNAcentral.